AGCGAACGCUGGCGGCAGGCCUAACACAUGCAAGUCGAACGAACCCUUCGGAGUUAGUGGCGGACGGGUGAGUAACACGUGGGAACGUGCCCUUAGGUUCGGAAUAACUCAGGGAAACUUGUGCUAAUACCGAAUGUGCUCUUCGGGCGAAAGAUUUAUCGCCUUUAGAGCGGCCCGCGUCUGAUUAGCUAGUUGGUGAGGUAAAGGCUCACCAAGGCGACGAUCAGUAGCUGGUCUGAGAGGAUGAUCAGCCACACUGGGACUGAGACACGGCCCAAACUCCUACGGGAGGCAGCAGUGGGGAAUCUUGCGCAAUGGGCGAAAGCCUGACGCAGCCAUGCCGCGUGAAUGAUGAAGGUCUUAGGAUUGUAAAGUUCUUUCACCGGGGACGAUAAUGACGGUACCCGGAGAAGAAGCCCCGGCUAACUUCGUG
Molecule: ribosomal RNA, 433 nt
Filed under: uncultured bacterium
Lineage: Bacteria
Description: partial 16S ribosomal RNA
Rfam family: Bacterial small subunit ribosomal RNA
Source: RNAcentral